RNAcentral lists this ribosomal RNA (626 nucleotides) under uncultured bacterium. RNAcentral describes it as "bacterial SSU rRNA". It matches the Rfam family "Bacterial small subunit ribosomal RNA", at positions 104 to 707 of the family's 1533-position model. The record is from RNAcentral.
GGGUGAGUAACACGUAGGUAAUCUGCCUUCGGGUGGGGAAUAACCUCUCGAAAGAGGGGCUAAUACCGCAUAAUGCAGCGGCACCUAAUGGUGAAUGGUUGUUAAAGCGGGGGAUUCUUCGGAACCUCGCGCCUGAAGAGGAGCCUGCGGCAGAUUAGCUAGUUGGUGAGGUAAUGGCUCACCAAGGCAACGAUCUGUAGCUGGUCUGAGAGGACGGCCAGCCACACUGGCACUGACACACGGGCCAGACUCCUACGGGAGGCAGCAGUGGGGAAUUUUGGGCAAUGGGCGAAAGCCUGACCCAGCAACGCCGCGUGAGGGAGGAAAUCCUUCGGGAUGUAAACCUCACAAGUAAGGGAAGAGCGGAGACAAGCUAAUACCCUGUCUCCUCGACGGUACCUUACGUAAGCCACGGCUAACUACGUGCCAGCAGCCGCGGUAAUACGUAGGUGGCAAGCGUUGUUCGGAAUUAUUGGGCGUAAAGGGCGCGUAGGCGGUCGGUUAAGUCAGCUGUGAAAGCCCGGGGCUCAACCCCGGAGGGUCGGCUGAUACUGAGUGACUAGAGUACGGAAGAGGUAGCUGGAAUUCCCGGUGUAGCGGUGAAAUGCGUAGAUAUCGGGAGGAAC